RNAcentral lists this unclassified non-coding RNA (413 nucleotides) under soil metagenome. Its description in RNAcentral is "partial contains 5.8S ribosomal RNA, internal transcribed spacer 2, and large subunit ribosomal RNA". The stretch from base 1 to 120 matches the Rfam family "5.8S ribosomal RNA", at positions 35 to 154 of the family's 154-position model. The record is from RNAcentral.
GAUGAAGAACGCAGCGAAAUGCGAUAAGUAAUGUGAAUUGCAGAAUUCAGUGAAUCAUCGAAUCUUUGAACGCACCUUGCGCUCUUUGGUAUUCCGAAGAGCAUGCCUGUUUGAGUGUCAUGAAAAUAUCAACCUUGACUUGGGUUUUGUGCUCUAGUCUCGGCUUGGAAUUGGGUGCUUGCCGCUUUUGCGAGCGGCUCACCUUAAAUGUAUUAGCUGGAUCUGUCUUUGAGACUUGGUUUGACUUGGCGUAAUAAGUAUUUCGCUAAGGACAUUCUUCGGAGUGGCCUCGUUUCUAGGACGCUUGUCCGCUUUCCAAUACAAGUUCCACCUCGUGGACAUGACUUUUUAUUAUCUGGCCUCAAAUCAGGUAGGACUACCCGCUGAACUUAAGCAUAUCAAUAAGCGGAGGA